RNAcentral lists this ribosomal RNA (81 nucleotides) under Epipactis atrorubens. Its description in RNAcentral is "partial 5.8S ribosomal RNA". It matches the Rfam family "5.8S ribosomal RNA", at positions 1 to 80 of the family's 154-position model. From Rfam's summary of the family: 5.8S ribosomal RNA (5.8S rRNA) is a component of the large subunit of the eukaryotic ribosome. It is transcribed by RNA polymerase I as part of the 45S precursor that also contains 18S and 28S rRNA. Functionally, it is thought that 5.8S rRNA may be involved in ribosome translocation. The record is from RNAcentral. Lineage: Eukaryota; Viridiplantae; Streptophyta; Magnoliopsida; Asparagales; Orchidaceae.
UGACUCUCGGCAACGGAUAUCUCGGCUCUCGCAUCGAUGAAGAGCGCAGCGAAAUGCGAUACUUGGUGUGAAUUGCAGGAU